AGUUGGUGGAGCGAUCUGUCUGGUUAAUUCUGUUAACGAACGAGACCUCGACCUGCUAAAUAGUACAACGUAACCCUUGGUUAUGUGUGCACUUCUUAGAGGGACUGUCGGUUCCUAGCCGAAGGAAGUUCGAGGCAAUAACAGGU
RNAcentral lists this ribosomal RNA (146 nucleotides) under Cercozoa sp. Its description in RNAcentral is "partial small subunit ribosomal RNA". It matches the Rfam family "Eukaryotic small subunit ribosomal RNA", at positions 1296 to 1461 of the family's 1831-position model. The record is from RNAcentral. Lineage: Eukaryota; Cercozoa.